RNAcentral lists this long non-coding RNA (344 nucleotides) under Fukomys damarensis (Damara mole-rat). Its description in RNAcentral is "lncRNA (ENSFDAG00000029747.1)". Lineage: Eukaryota; Metazoa; Chordata; Mammalia; Rodentia; Bathyergidae. The record is from RNAcentral.
UGGCUGAGUGAUGAUAAGAUACGAAUUAUAGGAAUGGGACUGGGUGUCGGAGGCUAUUGCUUCCAAUAUUUCAGUCUUUCCUGAGGGAGGUCUGGAGCUAUCAGAAUUAUUUCCUCUUUCAGAUUCCCCACAGUGGCACUGAACUUUCGAGGAUAGGAGAUUUCUCAUCUCACUACUUUUGUUGCCAAGGAAGAAUAGUUUAUAAGCUCUCCCCAAAGCUAAUGAUCGCCUACCAAUCUGCAGCCUCCUCUCCAUUUUCCAAGCCUCACGUCACCAAGAAUCAUGGAUGCUCUACACACAAAGUCUCAGGCACUGCUGGAUUCCAUCUGCACAUGAUUUGAAAG